CAGUCUUUCCGAGAAGUUGCCUUUAAAUUCUUCUCCCAGCGACCACUCAGCUUGUCUGGCUCCAGCUGUCUGAGGCACCAUGGAGACACGGUUCAUUCUCCAACUUUGGAUCUUUAACCUACUAGGUGCGGUGCUGGGUGACUCGAUCCGGUCCAAUGAACCCGAGGUGUCCAGAUCACAAGGCGAUACCGUGACCCUCAGCUGUUCUUACGAUACCAGCUACACUGCCGGUGUCUUUCUCUACUGGUACCGCCAGUACCCGAACCGAGCCCCGCAGUACAUCCUACGGAGAGGAGCAAAAGGAAGCACGUUCAGUGAUACUGCAGGUUUCGCCCAGGAGAGGUUUUCUUCGCAGGCGAACGACACCUCCACAGUUCUGAACAUCACAGCCCUGGAGCUGGCAGACACAGCGGUGUAUCUCUGCGCCCUGCGUCUGGCACAGUGACAGAGCCUCACAGCAGAGCUGUACAAAAACCUCCCAGCCCUGCUGCAGGGGAUGCCACAGGCAUUAAAACGGGCUGCAGCGCCUUGAAACAGCCUGAGUACUGACGCUGCUUAAAAAUACAUCUCCUCCUAACAGUUACAGGUUUCUGUAAAGAGCUAAUUUAAACACAAUCCUUGGAUAAUAUAUUGGGCCUGAUCUUUAAUUAGGAAACUAUUAAUACCUAUUUUCUUAGCUGACGAGAUGACCUGUUCUGUGUUGCGUGGGGGGAAAGCAUUUGUAGUAAAACAAGGGUUAAAGGUGAGUACAAAUGUAGAUGAAGUGACAUUGCUGAAAAUACAAAUUGAGAUAAAAUGCGAAUGAAAACAUCCCUUUACACAUGGACAAUGAACCGUUAAAUUGCUCAUUUAUGUUAAAAUGGGGGUUAAAUACGCGAGUUAAAAUACUGGGGAAAUAAUUCGAAAUACCCGGUUUUGAGUGGUGGGGUAAAGCUGCAGUUACCAACUCUCCCAGAGUCAAAUCAAUGCUCCUGUUGUAGAUACAUUUGCAUUUUGGGUAGAUUUGUUUGGAAACUAUUUAAUUGCAAGACACUUUCCCCAAGAACCGUGAGCUCUAAAAUCAUGUGGUACGUGGUAAAGUCAUGACAAAGCACCGCCAUCUGCUGGUUGGAAAUAUAAACACAGGUUGUCAUUGGAAACCCUUCCACGCGCUGUGUCUUCGGUUUCACUCAGGCUGCCGGCAAAGGCAGCAGAGGAAGGACGAAAAUGAUUUUAAAUAAUUCUUUCAGGAGUUCUGGCUGGGCAUUUCAAAGGAGGUUAAUGGAGUUGGGUGCCUCAUCCCAUUAAAUUUGUUGUGAUAAUCCCAGACGUUAUUGCCGGCAAACAUAUUCAUGCCCCAUCCCACUGAUACCUGGGUGCGUCAAAAAAUCUCAACGGUCCCUACAUGAGUUAGAAAAAAUACUCCCUAUUUUACAGCUAGGGAAACUGAGGCAUAGAGGAUUACACAUCGUCACACACACACAGUCUGUGGCAGAGCUGGUCUCUGAAUCCCAGAGCAGACCCUUGUCCACAAGCUCAUCCCUCUCCCCUUAAGAACACCAAUAUCUCAGCUGCAGGCUGACCUGAACCCACCGUGUUUCCUGGAUCUGCGGAGAGUUCCCCAAAACUCCUCCCUCUUCCUCUCCGUCGGUUUCUAAUGAAUUUUCCACAGUUGUUGCUGCCCUUAGAGACGUGAAUUUUAUAUUUGUCUGAGGCAGCGGCAGUAGCUGGGAGUUUGAAACUUGGUCGGUAUAGAUAGAAGAUACUAUGGAGACGCGUUUUAUUCUCAUAAUUUGGAUAGUUCUCCUAGGGAACUGGGCUGGGAUUUCAAAGAGGUCUCAGGAAACUAAACACUCAAUUCCCAUUGAACUGUAAACCUAACCCCACACUUAACCCUUACCCAAGACUGUAACCAAAAUGCGAAUGCUACAGCCUGACAGUUCACCUUCACCAU
This is a non-coding RNA of Mauremys mutica (yellowpond turtle), 1933 nucleotides long. The record is from the annotation of a RefSeq genome assembly. NCBI's taxonomy places the organism in Eukaryota, Metazoa, Chordata, Testudines, Geoemydidae.